Molecule: long non-coding RNA, 337 nt
Filed under: Serinus canaria (Common canary)
Lineage: Eukaryota; Metazoa; Chordata; Aves; Passeriformes; Fringillidae
Description: lncRNA (ENSSCAG00000014350.1)
Source: RNAcentral
UAAAGACUGAGUGAAGAAAUCUGAGCAAAAGGGAAUCAAAUGGAGAAUUACAAAGUGAUUUCCUACAGGACACCGGAGAGUAGGAAGCCAAAGGUGGGACCCUCUUCUGACAUGUGAUCUACCCUGAGCUACUUUGACUCCUACGAUGACAAUGUUAUCACUGCCGCAUCUCUGGGAACCAGUUAUUCACAAGUACACGUUCCUUCAAGGCCCUGCUGGCUCUCUGAUGGUCCCUGCUGGAGUUGCCUGCAUCAAUGACUGAAGUGCCUCUCAACUUUGAGAGGUCAGCUUUUCAUUUCCUUGGCCUGGAUUCUCCAGUGCUGCCAAAGCUGGAAGC